Dama dama (fallow deer) is the source of this 373-nucleotide long non-coding RNA. RefSeq lists it as uncharacterized. The record is from RefSeq and is a predicted model, not a curated record. Lineage: Eukaryota; Metazoa; Chordata; Mammalia; Artiodactyla; Cervidae. The transcript has 3 exons.
UUUUUUUUUCCUGAAGCUUAAAUGAAUCGGAAACACAAGAUACAGUAUAGUCCAGGCUAAUUACUUCUGAAAGAGACACGUGCACCCCAAUGUUCAUCGCAGCACUGUUUAUAAUAGCCAGGACAUGGAAGCAACCUAGAUGCCCAUCAGCAGAUGAAUGGAUAAAGAAGCUGUGGUACAUACACACCAUGGAAUAUUACUCAGCCGUUAAAAAGAAUUCAUUUGAAUCAGUCCUAAUGAGAUGGAUGAAACUGGAGCCCAUUAUACAGAGUGAAAGUGCCAUCCAGGAUGCCACAUGACAGUAGAUCAUCCUGUCCCCUGGAACUUCCCUUGGCAGUGACAGUUGGUCGUGCUGUCCUUGCUUAUCAAGACC